RNAcentral lists this long non-coding RNA (713 nucleotides) under Taeniopygia guttata (zebra finch). RNAcentral's name for it is "lncRNA (ENSTGUG00000025819.1)". Lineage: Eukaryota; Metazoa; Chordata; Aves; Passeriformes; Estrildidae. The record is from RNAcentral.
CCCGCUCUUUAGCGAGCUAGUGGCUUACGCCGUAACUUGGUACAGUUUAUGUGAUAGUCACUCCGGUUCCAGUUCCCUCUUCCAGCGAUCUGUAGGAACGAGAGGGAUCUCUGCGGCAGGGCUGUGCCUGCUGCUCCCGCCCCAGCUCGGCUCCCCGAGCAGAGCGGUUCCUGCAGCCGACGUGCAGCAAAUACAGAAAGCUCGGUCCCCUGCAAGAGUAUUGCACCGCUGUGACCUCACUGUGCUGUUACACCCCCAGCAGAAUGUUUCUAGAUUGUCUCCAUGGCCACCGAGGAUGUGGUCAGUGACAGGCAACAUCCUGUAAAGGCACAUCUGCCCAGCUCAGAAAUAUCGAACACCGCGUCUUGCUGGGAAAGAAAGGAGAAGAAAGAAAACCUGGGCCAGAUUGUGGAGUCUCUUCUAUUUCCAAAGCAGAGAAAACACCAGUAAAUACAACUAUGUAAGGAAAAUCACUCUGAUUGAGGAGAAUUUUACCAAAAGCAUGAGAUCCACUGGGGUUGCCUUGGGGUUUAUUUACCCUGGUUUUGACAAAACCAUUUUUGCCUUGAAAAUAAAAAUUUAUGGCUUAAGGGAAGGCCCUGUUCCAAAAGGAGGUAAGCCCUUGGGCCACUAUGAAGUCAGAUACAGCAGGGUCUCAGUGCAUAGCAAGUGACCACAGCAUAGGAAUCUGCUGCAAUGAAAAAAGAGGGAGC